Molecule: long non-coding RNA, 469 nt
Filed under: Rattus norvegicus (Norway rat)
Lineage: Eukaryota; Metazoa; Chordata; Mammalia; Rodentia; Muridae
Description: long non-coding RNA NONRATT027991
Source: RNAcentral
AGUCUCUGGUUCUGGUAGCGAAGAUAACUUUGCGUCAGGAAGGGGCUGGGCCGGGAGCCCACAGCAGCGGUACUCAGAAAACUCGGACACAGAAACAGGCAAGUGCCCUGUAGCAAAUCCCUGUGCCAUCCUGCUUGGCUCCUUUGGACGUGGCUUUUUCUGGAAACUAUGUCCUCAGGCUGCCUGGCUCCCCUGCUCUCUGCACUGGGUUAAGCUAAAACAGGCCAAGAACAAAUGGAUUGGAAGACUGACUGUCUGCCCUUGUCUCUUACAGAAAAAAUAAUCUUGAAGAACAGUAAAAAUCAUCAUUGGAGAAUUAAAUGCUGAAGGCACCUUUGUUGAAAAAAAAAAGAAGUAAGGAGACAGCUGUUGAAAAUCCCAGCAUUUCACUUGGCCACUUCCCUUGGGAUCCAGCCCUCAUGCUGAGACCAUCUUUGAAAGAGGCAGAGACCAGACACACACCUCUUAU